UGAAGGGAUAGGAGGGACCCCACUCGAAGCCAGCUCAGUGGCCUGGGGUGCUGGACUGGGGAGGGGAGGCGUCAGUCCCUCUGUAUGGGUCUUUGGAACUACCUGAAGGAGGACCUUUGUCAUCUGUCUCCCUUCAGGGAAGAAAGACUGGGAUUCUUGGCCACUCAUUUUAGACCCUGGGACUGGCAAGUGCCCUCAGAUUCACUCUCUCUCUUUCUGCCUCUCUCCCUCCCUCCCUGGCUUCAGAUGCAUUCCCCAAACAGAAAGAGCCUUUCAAGGCUGUUGGGCUGGAGGACAAGGGCAGCUCUGGAUCACAGAAGAAGCAAGGCUCUGGGAGGAAGGAGAGAGGCUCCCGUCUGGCCCUAAACACAGGUCUUUUCACAGCUCCUGUGGUGCUGGCUAUAACCACAAAAGCAGGAAAGGGAGACAGGGCAGGGCUGGCUUUGGCAGCCGCACUGGUUUCUGUGUGACUGCGCUCCCUGCGCUGGCAGCAUAGCCUCAGGUCUGCGAUCGGAGUCUGUGUCCUCCUCCCGCUAAACCAGUGCCAUCUGACGUGGCAGGCUAUGUGCAAUGAACAAACGAGCCCUCCCCUUCUUUAAUGGAAGAAAAACGAAAAUUCAAAGACAUUAAGUAACAGGUCCAAGUUACUUAAACUGCUAAGCAAGUGGACUUCUAUUAGUUUUGUUUACUAUUCAGUUUUCUUCAUCGAGCUUAUCAACAAUCCAUGUUCCUUAGUCAGUUGACCACAUAUUUCCCAUUCUGUAUUGUUCAUUGUUUGGAUUUUGAUUGGGGUUGGUUUUUUUUUUUUCUUUCUGGUAUAAUUUACAUUCUGUAAAAUGUACAACUCUUAAGUAUACAGCUCAAUGACAGACACACACCCAUGCAGCCUGCAUCUGGAUAGAAGUAGAAAACAUUUCCAUCAUUUUAGAAAGUUCUUUCACGCCUUGUUCCAGUCAACAGCCACCCUCACCACAACAGAGCAGACAGUGGUUGCUUCCACACAGAGCUGUUAACUCCUGCACCAGCAAAGACAACAGGUCUUAUUCAAGUCCAAGAAAUACACCCAUUCCAUUUCUUGUCACCAAAUGAUGUAUAAUCACGAAGGAAACAUGCUCUCCUCUUCUACCCACUGGAAGCAACUUGAGCAAGGCCAGCCACCAUGGUUGAGAUGUAAAUAAAUGUGUCUACUCCA
This is a long non-coding RNA of Odocoileus virginianus texanus, 1192 nucleotides long. RefSeq lists it as uncharacterized. Lineage: Eukaryota; Metazoa; Chordata; Mammalia; Artiodactyla; Cervidae. The record is from RefSeq and is a predicted model, not a curated record.